Molecule: ribosomal RNA, 251 nt
Filed under: uncultured Gemella sp.
Lineage: Bacteria; Bacillati; Bacillota; Bacilli; Caryophanales; Gemellaceae
Description: partial 16S ribosomal RNA
Rfam family: Bacterial small subunit ribosomal RNA
Source: RNAcentral
AACACGUAAAGAACCUACCUUAUUGACAGGGACAACUAUUGGAAACGAUAGCUAAUACCUGAUAAGAAAGAAACUCGCAUGAGAGAAGUUCGAAAGUCGGAGCAAUCUGACACUAUAAGAUGGCUUUGCGGUGCAUUAGCUAGUUGGUAGGGUAAAAGCCUACCAAGGCGACGAUGCAUAGCCGACCUGAGAGGGUGAUCGGCCACAUUGGGACUGAGACACGGCCCAGACUCCUACGGGAGGCAGCAGCC